UCCCAACCCUUUAAACCCUUGUUGCUGGGGGAUUCAUUGAACUCAGAGUCGAAAACAAUGGCUUGGCGCUCCGGAUCCCUUUCGAGAUCUCUGCUCUCUACCGUCAGAUCCUCCCCAAUCCGACGCUCAUCCUCCUCUUCAUCAUCCCUACCCGGUCUCCUCCGUCCUCCGGUUCCACCUCGGCCACACCGCCGCCCAGUCUUCUCCACUGCCAGGACCAUGGCGGGAGAGAUGGGGAGCAUUCAAUUGCUGGUGCCGCUGCACAGUCUCGCCGUCGCUCGUCUCACUUCACACAUUUCCAUCCAGGCGCGCGCUUUCUGCGAGUUGUCUCAGGGUUCGUAAUUUCCAGGGUCGCUCGCUCAUUUUCCCUUUUCGUUGUACUUGAAGAGACUGUUGGUUCUGCACGCUGGUGCUAUAUCUUAUGUAGAACGCCAUUCUUGUCUUCAUGGAGAGUAUUGGGAGUACUUAAGAGCGUUUUCAAUUAGAUGGGUUCCAAAACUGUCCUGCUCUUUGGACAAAGGGCUCCUGCUUUUUAUUAUGAACUCAUACAAGUUUAUUUUUUAUUGAUACCGGGUGUCCAAAAAUAAAGUCCCGACUAAUCCUAGGGGUGCACAGGCCCUCGGCAGGGAGUAUGAACUCAUAAAAGUUUCGUGAUAGAUUAUUGAAAAUUCUAUCAUGGGCUGCCAUUUGUUUGACUUUAUGGGCAAAUUUUAGGUUGGAUAUUCAGCAGCAGCGGAAGGUUUUGGAAUUAAAUUAUUGAGCCCUAGUGAGAACCAGGAAUUUAAUGCAAUGUCAUUGAACUGGGGAAAAGAAAUGGUUCACAUGCCAAAUGUAGUUUUGUUUUUGGGGCAACACUUCUAUUGUUGUGAUGAGCAUAUGAAAUUUUAGGUAUCUGACUUGUCAAAAAAAAAAUUUUAGGUAUCUGACUUUCUUUGGAUUGCUCGUGCAUGUCAAUUACCCUCACUUGAAUGCCACUUCCAAGUCAUGUAUGGUGUUAAUAAACUACUAUUUUACAUUUCUUACAAAAUACCAUUGCUGAAUCAAACAUGUGCAUAGAACGAAACGAUUCCUGAAUUCAUAUACAUUGCUUCAAAAUGAGAAAAAAUAAAGAUGCAUGCAGUUUAGUCAUAAUGGCAUGGCUUUGGAUCUAAACAGAGCUUACUGAAUCUUGCAGCUAUACUUUCCCACCCGUGCUGCGUCAUCUGGGGCAGAAUUUCUUAUGCCUUGUAUUCUCCCACUUAAAUUAGGUGGUUAACUAUUCUUUGGGGAUGAAUAUGAAUCAGAUUGAUCGACUUCCUGGUUCAAUGUGUGGGAUGGAGAAGUAACUAUUGGUAAAAUGUAGUAUGAUGCGGAGGAACAGGGCUCAGAAUGGGUUAAGAGUUAGUGCUAAUGUACUCUAAAGUGUUAUUAUUCUUAAGCACAUGCAGGUGUUAGAAACCCGCCAGGCACUCUGUCCCGCACUUACUUUUCCCUCUCCAGUGUCCUGUCUCCCUUCAUUUCAGACGUGGCGACAAAAUAUGGGUCUUCCAUGGUGAUGUGCUUCUCUUUCAAUCUGAAUCUUGAAGUUGAGAGAAAGGAGGAAAGCAUGCUCCUAGUUGUUUUCAGCUACUCUCUGUACUUUGGACACUUCCCAUGUUUUAUUGACAAAGCGUUUCAUUUUUCAAAACUUUAGGAUUAGCCCCUUUUCACGCCUCUUAUAGUGGAAUGAAACGAGAAUUUGACGUUUCUCACUCCUAAAAUCGUUCCUUUGAUGUACAUAAGCUGCCUGCAAACGUGUAAUAUGUUCAGGGAAAUUAGAUGAGAUGAUACAGCAUUCUUUUA
RNA transcript from Carya illinoinensis, 1821 nucleotides. It is a transcript of the gene named protein NONRESPONDING TO OXYLIPINS 2, mitochondrial-like, with no coding region annotated. NCBI's taxonomy places the organism in Eukaryota, Viridiplantae, Streptophyta, Magnoliopsida, Fagales, Juglandaceae. The transcript has 3 exons. The record is from RefSeq and is a predicted model, not a curated record.